Molecule: non-coding RNA, 1172 nt
Organism: Electrophorus electricus (electric eel)
Lineage: Eukaryota; Metazoa; Chordata; Actinopteri; Gymnotiformes; Gymnotidae
Source: RefSeq, a predicted model, not a curated record
GUGAACAGGGACUGUACCUUGAUUGUGGAGUCUCCCCUUAGCUGCAGAUUUUUGGUUUGUGUGAGUGAAAAGUUUGUCCCUGUACCCAAGCACUGACAGAUUAGGGAUGCAGGGAUGAGAGGCACAGAGAAAUCACAUUAGAUGUAGAAAUUCACACAAACAGACUCCUCCAAACCCAGCCACCGAUACUGCUACUGUCAAACGGCCCAAAAAGAUCAUGAAAGCCAUUAAAAAGUGACGCCACUGAUGAAAACAGCGGUGAGUUGAAAGGUCGGUUAACACGCACUGCUUCAAGUGCUUCCGAACUUCUGAAAAUUUCACUCCACUGCUACACUUCAAUAUCUCUUUGAAAUGUCAAAAUGAAAUUGUACUUUACAAACAUCUAAAAACAUAUCCUACAAAAUCCUACACUCACCAUAAGAUGUAAACAAUGUACCUUUGUGUAUUUACACUGUAACCUACGAAGGAACGUUCAGGACAUGCUAUUUUCUUACUGAUGAACAUGCAGCUUUUCCCUCUGCUUUAAGUGGUAUGUGACACAUCUCUGCACAAGCCAGCACAAGUUAAUAAAUUCAUGAGGGUGACAACAAAACUGUCUCAAUUCCAGACGUUUGAAGAGUCCGAGUGUUUGGAAACCACUGUGGUUCGAUUGUCCUCGGAGCAGAUGCGCGCGCUGACAGAACAACGGUACUCGCCUCCAAGAUGCCGCCCUUUCUAAUUCUGCUGUAAUGAGUCACUGUUCGCAUUCACUGCAUUUAACCCAAAUUACCACAUCGCACACUGUAAUCGAGACACUCGAGUAACACCCUUUCCCUCUCUGCUUCACCCCUGCACAUAAUCAAUGCUUCGUCCGAAGGAUGGGUCUUAUGCAAGAAUAUGAUCAUCAGUGACUGUACUGCCAAUACAUUCCUCUCACACAAGCAGAGAGACUGCGGCCUGCGACACCAACACCUUCAGACCAAGGCUACUGGCUGGUCGGCUGAACCCUGGACAUAAGUGAUGCUUCGCCAACGUCUGGCCCUACGCGGCGGUCCUAGCCACGGCAGAAAACGCAGCGGUGUUCCGGCUGCUAUCCGUCAGCAGCGUCCGCGGCCGGCGUGGCACGGAGGAGCUUGUUCUUACUGGCGUCCAGGGGCACGAGCAGGUAGACCAUGAGGCUGGCGUAGUGGAUG